Molecule: ribosomal RNA, 429 nt
Filed under: Bacteroidota bacterium
Lineage: Bacteria; Pseudomonadati; Bacteroidota
Description: Bacteroidetes bacterium partial 16S ribosomal RNA
Rfam family: Bacterial small subunit ribosomal RNA
Source: RNAcentral
UAGGGAAUCUUCCGCAAUGGACGCAAGUCUGACGGAGCAACGCCGCGUGAGUGAAGAAGGAUUUCGGUUCGUAAAACUCUGUUGUUAGAGAAGAACAGCGCAUAGAGUAACUGUUAUGCGUGUGACGGUAUCUAACCAGAAAGCCACGGCUAACUACGUGCCAGCAGCCGCGGUAAUACGUAGGUGGCAAGCGUUGUCCGGAUUUAUUGGGCGUAAAGCGAGCGCAGGCGGUCAAUUAAGUCUGAUGUGAAAGCCCCCGGCUCAACCGGGGAGGGUCAUUGGAAACUGGUUGACUUGAGUGCAGAAUAGGAGAUUGGAAUUCCAUGUGUAGCGGUGAAAUGCGUAGAUAUAUGGAGGAACACCAGUGGCGAAGGCGACUCUCUGGUCUGUAACUGACGCUGAGGCUCGAAAGCGUGGGUAGCAAACAGG